AACGAACGCUGGCGGCAUGCCUAACACAUGCAAGUCGAACGAGACCUUCGGGUCUAGUGGCGCACGGGUGCGUAACGCGUGGGAACCUGCCCUUAGGUUCGGAAUAACUUCCCGAAAGGGGUGCUAAUACCGGAUAAUGUCUUCGGACCAAAGAUUUAUCGCCUUUGGAUGGGCCCGCGUUGGAUUAGCUAGUUGGUAGGGUAAAAGCCUACCAAGGCGACGAUCCAUAGCUGGUCUGAGAGGAUGAUCAGCCACACUGGGACUGAGACACGGCCCAGACUGCUACGGGAGGCAGCAGUGGGGAAUAUUGGACGAUGGGCGAAAGCCUGAUCCAGCAAUGCCGCGUGAGUGAUGAAGGCGUUAGGGUUGUAAAGCUCUUUUACCCGGGAUGAUAAUGACAGUACCGGGAGAAUAAGCUCCGGCUAACUCCGUG
RNAcentral lists this ribosomal RNA (433 nucleotides) under uncultured bacterium. RNAcentral describes it as "partial 16S ribosomal RNA". It matches the Rfam family "Bacterial small subunit ribosomal RNA", at positions 29 to 507 of the family's 1533-position model. The record is from RNAcentral.